GAAAUGCGAUAAGUAGUGUGAAUUGCAGAAUUCAGUGAAUCAUCGAAUCUUUGAACGCUCAUUGCGCCCUUUGGUAUUCCAAAGGGCAUGCCUGUUCGAGCGUCAUUUGUACCCUCAAGCUUUGCUUGGUGUUGGGCGUCUUGUCUCCAGUUCGCUGGAGACUCGCCUUAAAGUAAUUGGCAGCCGGCCUACUGGUUUCGGAGCGCAGCACAAGUCGCGCUCUCUUCCAGCCAAGGUCAGCAUCCACAAAGCCUUUUUUCAACUUUUGACCUCGGAUCAGGUAGGGAUACCCGCUGAACUUAAGC
RNAcentral lists this unclassified non-coding RNA (305 nucleotides) under plant metagenome. RNAcentral describes it as "partial contains 5.8S ribosomal RNA, internal transcribed spacer 2, and large subunit ribosomal RNA". The stretch from base 1 to 105 matches the Rfam family "5.8S ribosomal RNA", at positions 50 to 154 of the family's 154-position model. The record is from RNAcentral.